CGGGUGGCUGCAGUGAGGAAUAUUGCGCAAUGGGGGCAACCCUGACGCAGCAACGCCGCGUGGGUGAAGAAGGCCUUCGGGUUGUAAAACCCUUUUCUGGGGGAAGAGCGAGGACGGUACCCCAGGAAUAAGUCCCGGCUAACUACGUGCCAGCAGCCGCGGUAAAACGUAGGGGGCAAGCGUUAUCCGGAUUUACUGGGCGUAAAGCGCGUGCAGGCGGCUUGGUAGGUUGGACGUGAAAGCUCCUGGCUCAACUGGGAGAGGCCGUUCAAUACCGCCGGGCUUGAGGGCGGAAGAGGGGAGUGGAAUUCCCGGUGUAGUGGUGGAAUGCGUAGAGAUCGGGAGGAACACCUGUGGCGAAGGCGGCUCCCUGGUCCGCACCUGACGCUCAAGCGCGAAAGCGUGGGGAGCGAACGGGAUUAGAUACCCCGGUAGUCCACGCUGUAAACGAUGGAUGCUAGGUGUGGGUGGUAUUGACCCCAUCCGUGCCGUAGCUAACGCGUUAAGCAUCCCGCCUGGGGACUACGGCCGCAAGGCUA
This 539-nucleotide ribosomal RNA is filed under the name uncultured bacterium. Its description in RNAcentral is "bacterial SSU rRNA". It matches the Rfam family "Bacterial small subunit ribosomal RNA", at positions 342 to 896 of the family's 1533-position model. The record is from RNAcentral.